GCCUGGGUGGCUCAGUCGGUUGAGCGUCCGACUUCGGCUCAGGUCAUGAUCUCACAGUCUGUGAGUUCGAGCCCCGCAUCAGGCU
This 85-nucleotide transfer RNA is filed under the name Felis catus (domestic cat). It matches the Rfam family "tRNA". Rfam says of the family: Transfer RNA (tRNA) molecules are approximately 80 nucleotides in length. The record is from Rfam by way of RNAcentral. Lineage: Eukaryota; Metazoa; Chordata; Mammalia; Carnivora; Felidae. RNAcentral also lists the same sequence under 5 other names.